Molecule: ribosomal RNA, 501 nt
Filed under: Lachancea nothofagi CBS 11611
Lineage: Eukaryota; Fungi; Ascomycota; Saccharomycetes; Saccharomycetales; Saccharomycetaceae
Description: RNA subunit of the RNaseP
Source: RNAcentral
AGGAAAGUCAUAAAUAUAUAAAUUAAAAUAUAUAGAUAUUUUAUAAUAAAGUAAUUAAUAUAAAUAAUUAUAAAUAAAUAUAAGUAUUUCUUUAUCCUAUUCAAUACAAAUGUAACAUAAUUACUAUUGAAAUAAAAGAAAGGCUCCCCCGCAUAUUUUUAUAAGAGGAGCAUAUAUAUUAUUAUAUAUACUUAUUUUUGUUAUUAACAUAUAACAAAAUAUAUAUGGAAAUUAAAAGCUUAAUAUAUAUAUAUAUUAUAAAUUAUCUUUUACAUUUUAGAUUAAUAUUAUAAAAAAUCUAAACCUUAUACUUAAAUAAAAUAAGGAGUAAGAGAGAUAAAUAUGAGUGAAAUAUAUAAUAAUUUUAUAAUUCUUUUAUUAUCCUUACCAUGAAUAUAAUUAGGGCCCCGCUAAGCGGGGCGGAGGGAUAAUAAUUUAAAUAUAUAAAUAAUAAAUAUUAUAUAUAUAGGAAAAUAAUAAUUAUUAUACAAAAAUAUGCUU